This is a non-coding RNA of Mucilaginibacter sp. OK098, 35 nucleotides long. Lineage: Bacteria; Pseudomonadati; Bacteroidota; Sphingobacteriia; Sphingobacteriales; Sphingobacteriaceae. The record is from Rfam.
AAGGCGGAUACCGAAAAGCCUGAAUAGAGUAGGUA